Molecule: ribosomal RNA, 2005 nt
Filed under: metagenome
Description: bacterial LSU rRNA
Rfam family: Bacterial large subunit ribosomal RNA
Source: RNAcentral
CGAAAAGCUUCGGGGAGGUGCAAAUAACCUUUGAUCCGGAGGUUUCCGAAUGGGGCAACCCACCAUGAUUAAUAUUAUGGUACUCCUAUCUGAAUACAUAGGGUAGGUAGAGUUAACGGAGUGAACUGAUACAUCUAAGUAACUCUAGGAAGAGAAAAUAACAAUGAUUCCCUUAGUAGUGGCGAGCGAACGGGGAAAAGUCUAAACCACUUACGUGCCAAGCUUGCAGGUUUUGCGUUAGUGGUGUUGUGGGAUUAAUUCUGAGCCAGCUGCAAUAGGCUCGACGAGUCAAAAAAUCAAUAGUUAGGUGAAUGUUCUGGAAAGUUCAGCCAUAGAAGGUGAUAGCCCUGUAACUAAAAACUUGAGAUCUUGUCCGAAUUAACACCCGAGUAGCGCGGGACACGAGAAAUCUUGUGUGAAUCAGCCGGGACCAUCCGGUAAGACUAAAUACUUCCAUGUGACCGAUAGUGAACUAGUACCGUGAGGGAAAGGUGAAAAGUACCCCUAGAGGGGAGUGAAAUAGAACCUGAAACCGUAUGCCUACAAGCGGUCGGAGCUCCAUUUAGGUGGGGUGACGGCGUGCCUUUUGCAUAAUGAGCCAGCGAGUUGCUCGUACGUUGCAAGGUUAAGAAUAGUACAUUCGGAGCCGAAGCGAAAGCGAGUCUGAACAGGGCGUUCAGUAGCGUGCGGCAGACCCGAAACCGGGUGAUCUAGCCAUGNCCAGGUUGAAAGUGCGGUAACACGCACCGGAGGACCGAACCCACUUCGGUUGAAAACGGAGGGGAUGAGNUGUGGUUAGGGGUGAAAGGCCAAUCAAACUCGGAGAUAUCUGGUUCUCGCCGAAAUGCCUUUAGGGGCAGCGUUAUAUUANUGUNCCGGGGGUAGAGCACUGAAUGGGCUAGGGGGCCUACAAGCUUACCAACCCCAAUCAAACUCCGAAUACCGGAUACAUGUUGUAUAGCAGUGAGGUUGCGGGCGAUAAGGUUCGUAGCCAAGAGGGAAACAACCCAGAUCAACAGCUAAGGUCCCAAAAUUGAUACUAAGUGAUAAAGGAUGUCAAAUCGCCCAGACAGCUAGGAGGUUGGCUUAGAAGCAGCCAUCCUUUAAAGAAAGCGUAACAGCUCACUAGUCGAGGGGUUUUGCGCCGAUAAUAUCCGGGACUGUAAGUAUCAUACCGAAGCUUUGAGAUUCUUAGAAUCGGUAGGCGAGCGUUCCAUUGACCGUUGAAGGUGGACCUGUGAGGGCCGCUGGAGGAGAUGGAAAUGAGUAUGCUGGCAUGAGUAGCGAUAAACACAGUGAAAUUCUGUGUCGCCGUAAGCCCAAGGUUUCCUGAGUAAAGUAACUCUGCUCAGGGUUAGUCGGACCCUAAGUCGAGGCCGAAAGGCGUAGACGAUGGAAAACGGGUAAAAUAUUCCCGUACCAGCGAUUAAUUGUUUAAGCUAAGGGGGGACGCAGGAGUGAAAGAUCAGCACGGUAUUGAACGUCCGUGUCUAAGCAUGUAGGGCGAUCCGGUAGGCAAAUCCGCCGGAUCUUAUAGCCUGAGAUGUGAAUGGGAAGCGCGCCUUCGGGCAAGCCAACUGAUCCUAACCAGACUGCCAAGAAAAUCCUCUAUGUUAGAUUAAUAGCUGACCGUACCGUAAACGGACACACGUGGGCGAGGAGAGUAUCCUCAGGCGCUAGAGAGAAUCAUGGUUAAGGAACUCGGCAAAAUGGCCCCGUAACUUCGGGAGAAGGGGUGCCCUAAUUAGGUGAUGAUCCUUGCGAUCAAAGCCGAACAGGGUCGCAGUGAAGAGGCUCAAACGACUGUUUAACAAAAACACAGGUCUCUGCUAAAUCGUAAGAUGAAAUAUAGGGACUGACACCUGCCCGGUGCCGGAAGGUUAAAUGGCGAGGUUAGUUCUUCGGAACGAAGCUUUAAAAUGAAGCCCCGGUAAACGGCGGCCGUAACUAUAACGGUCCUAAGGUAGCGAAAUUCCUUGUCGGGUAAGUUCCGACCUGCACGAAU